This 468-nucleotide ribosomal RNA is filed under the name uncultured bacterium. Its description in RNAcentral is "partial 16S ribosomal RNA". It matches the Rfam family "Bacterial small subunit ribosomal RNA", at positions 28 to 507 of the family's 1533-position model. The record is from RNAcentral.
GACGAACGCUGGCGGCGUGCUUAACACAUGCAAGUCGAACGGAAAGGCCCUGCUUUUGUGGGGUGCUCGAGUGGCGAACGGGUGAGUAACACGUGAGUAACCUGCCCUUGACUUUGGGAUAACUUCAGGAAACUGGGGCUAAUACCGGAUAGGAGCUCCUGCUGCAUGGUGGGGGGUGGAAAGUUUCGGCGGUUGGGGAUGGACUCGCGGCUUAUCAGCUUGUUGGUGGGGUAGUGGCUUACCAAGGCUUUGACGGGUAGCCGGCCUGAGAGGGUGACCGGCCACAUUGGGACUGAGAUACGGCCCAGACUCCUACGGGAGGCAGCAGUGGGGAAUAUUGCACAAUGGGCGGAAGCCUGAUGCAGCAACGCCGCGUGCGGGAUGACGGCCUUCGGGUUGUAAACCGCUUUCGCCUGUGACGAAGCGUGAGUGACGGUAAUGGGUAAAGAAGCACAGGCUAACUACGUG